Molecule: ribosomal RNA, 569 nt
Filed under: uncultured bacterium
Lineage: Bacteria
Description: bacterial SSU rRNA
Rfam family: Bacterial small subunit ribosomal RNA
Source: RNAcentral
GCGCGUAGGCGGGCUGACAAGUCUGGGGUGAAAUCCCGCGGCUCAACCGUGGAACUGCCUUAGAUACUGUCGGCCUCGAGGAAGGUAGGGGCAUGCGGAACUAACGGUGGAGCGGUGAAAUGCGUUGAUAUCGUUAGGAACUCCGGUGGCGAAAGCGGCGUGCUGGACCUUUUCUGACGCUGAGGCGCGAAAGCUAGGGGAGCAAACGGGAUUAGAUACCCCGGUAGUCCUAGCCCUAAACGAUGGGUACUAGGUAGUAGACGAGAUAUGCGUUUACUGCCGAAGCUAAAGUGCUAAGUACCCCGCCUGGGGAGUAUGGUCGCAAGGCUGAAACUCAAAGAAAUUGACGGGGGCUCACACAAGCGGUGGAGCAUGUGGCUUAAUUCGAGACUACGCGAAGAACCUUAUCCUGGACUUGACAUGUGCGAAAGCGUCAGGUAGUAGAAGCCGGAAACGGUAACGAACCUAACAAUAGGGAGCCUGAUACAGGUGCUGCAUGGCUGUCGUCAGCUCGUGUCGUGAGAAUGUCGCGUUAAGUCGCAUAACGAGCGAAACCCUUACCUUUAGUU